This 292-nucleotide ribosomal RNA is filed under the name uncultured eukaryote. RNAcentral's name for it is "partial 18S ribosomal RNA". It matches the Rfam family "Eukaryotic small subunit ribosomal RNA", at positions 1470 to 1796 of the family's 1831-position model. The record is from RNAcentral.
CCCUUCGAUACUCUGGGCGGCACGCGCGCUACAAUGAGUCGUUUAAUCUGUCACGCUUCCGAAGUGGAUCUGUGAAUCAGUAAUGCGUUCUCAUGAGUGGGAUAGUCUUCUGAAAUUUCCAGACUUGAAAAAGGAAUCCCUUGUAAGCUUGCUAAAGAACAGCAAGUUGAAUACGUCCCUGUGGAAUGUAUGCACCGCCCGUCGUUUCUUCCGACUGAUACUUAAUGUGAAUUACGGGGAAUAAUUCAACCGUCGUGAAUGAUGAGUAUUGGAGGAAGAAAAAGUCGUAACA